ACAGGAAACUAGUCAUUGAGCGGUUGACUAUCGCUGGGAUUAGAUGAACAAGCCAACUAAGAGAUCGUACUCCCAGAUCGCUUCAAAUCGAUUGAACGAUAAAUGCAUUAGUUAAUCUUAGCUUGGACACUUCGAAACUUACCUGUUACGCACGUAGCCUUCUGAAGACUUAGAUUUUCUUUUCCAUCGUCAAAAUUGAUGCUUUUUUAUAUAUUUUUGUUCUUUCGGUGUUGGUGAAUAAUGCGUACGUUACAGAAAGUUUACAUGUCGUAUAUGUAUGCUGAUCGGUAAAGUACAUCAAGAGGGAACUGUGUAUUCACCAUUUGGACCAGAUACAUGGACGUGGCGUCGGACCAAAUUAAUUAAGUGCGGUUAUCAUCCCAGCAACAACCUAGUCUUCUGGUUUAUUUCACAAAAUAAUUAAUUCACAGCUACAAACCAAGUAUUUUUUGCUUGUUCAGCUGAUUUUUAAUUUCAUAUGUUAAAGUACGAUGUCAACACAAUCAGAAAAGAAAAUGGCGUCAAAUGAUUUGCAUUAUCACGUUUCAGAUUUAAAAGAUGCCGGGCCAUUAGGUCGAAAUGCCAUCAGUUGUGAUGUUGCGAAAAAACAUACGGUUGUCGAUUAUAUGACAUCAAUUGAACGGAAACCUUACGAGAAUCAGCAUUUAUGCCGAAAGAAUGGUAUACGAGAACACAAACAUAAGGGUCGUGGAGGAGGUUGGGGAGGAGGAAGAUUCAAAACUCCGCCGCCUACACCUAAGGUGAACAAGAAAACAUUGAAAGACAUCGCUCAAGAUUAUCUCACAACGCUUGAAUCAGACUAUGUCGUUACGAAUAUGAACAGUGUCACCGUUGGAACUGGCAAAGAGAGUUUCGUGCAAUUGACAACAGAACCAAGCGCGCCCAAAAUUGACGAACAUUUGUACGACACGAUAACAGGUCAUUACAAAAAGAAAGAACGUGAACUAUAUAAUGAGGGAGGUAGUAAACGAUCCCCUAAACAAGACGCAUACUAUCUGGAUAUUAUAGAUGAUUGCAGCAAACCGGCAUUUCCAACAUCUUCUCAUUCGUACGAUGAAGUGAAAUGCAAGACAUUGUCCCUUUCUCGGUACCGAACACAUAUUUAUUCAUCUAAUAACCGUGAAUUCCUUAAUCGAGCCAAACAGAUAUUGACAACGGAUUUACUUGCACUACUACCAACUACACGAAGAAAACGAGUUGUUACAUUUUUCAUUGCCACUCUGUUUCUUUUAUGUUCGAUAUGGCUGGCAGUUAUAGCCUGAGCGUCGAAACCAGACAAGACAAAUGGACUGGUUUUUCCGACACAGCCGCACCAUCUUGUAGGUGAUGGCAGAUUCCAGCCAGUGACUACUGAAAUCGCAACAUCGGUGGGACCAUUACCUCCAGAAGGUGAUUGCCUCCAGCAGGAAUGUGAUCGCAAUAAAGUGAAACUGUCUAUAUGUGCUUCGAAUGGGAUUACCUAUGAAAGUAAAUGCGUUUUCAAAAUAGCAAAAUGCAAAGACCCUUCUCUGUUUAAAGUAGGAUCCGGUUCCUGCAGUUUAUUGAGCAGCGAUGACAUGGAGGAUGAUCGUGAUUAGAGUGCGAACUCGUUGAGCUAGAAAGAGAAUCGCCUGCGUUUUCACAUUCGUUGCCGGGGCGAGGUGGUGACUCAAUAAGAGCUGCUGUAGGCCACAAACCUGUCAUUCAAAAAACAUCCCGACUGAAAUAUUAGGCCUACUUGGAUUGAUAAUUGUUCUACAGUAGGCCUAUAUACUGGCUAUAUAGCCGUGGUGAUGUAAAUAGGCCUAACUAUCGUUACCAGUAUCAUGACCGCAAAACGUCAAAACAUAUCUUGGAUCGUGAUACAGCUAAUCACAUGCUGGUAAAAUCAGGAUAUUUACACUUUCAGUAUGGAUAAAUAAGCUAUACAAGGACUCACUGACACAGUUCUGCUUUUUUUAAAACAAAUUUGAAAAAAGUUAGCCAUCAUAAUUAGGUCUAACCAGCAGGCCUAAGCCUAUAGACAGUUUGCGAGUUGCCCUAAGUAAUAUAUGGUUUCCUGGAGGACUUGUCCAGUAUAAGAUAAUAAUUGUGUGUUUUGACAGAGAUGACAAGCGUAUUCUUAAAAAAAUAAUAAUAAUGUAUUAGAACGUAUUUCCCUCUACUGACUCCCGCCAGUCACUGUUCCAUUAGUUGAAUAUGUUAAAAAUGUUAUGCAAUUAAACGAAGUAAACAAGCAAUUGUAUGGCCAGAUAAGAAGUGUACGUAGCCCUAAAUAGGGGCCAGGCCGGGAAUGAUAAUAUUAUAAGCAAUGAAACCGGUAACGAAUGACAAAGUUCCUGACUUUGUGUUACUCUUGUGUGUGCGAGCAAGAACCACGGAGAUGGGUGGGUGUUCAAUUCCAUCCCUCAUGAAGGUGUUAGGGGGUGUCUGAAAUGCAAGUUAAAUAUAUAUUUCAAUUAAAAUGAAUAUAUUUUGUGUAACCAAUGUAGUAAAUAAAAUAUGGAAUUCCAAAUUAAA
Molecule: long non-coding RNA, 2520 nt
Organism: Anneissia japonica
Lineage: Eukaryota; Metazoa; Echinodermata; Crinoidea; Comatulida; Comatulidae
Exons: 3
Source: RefSeq, a predicted model, not a curated record